Molecule: non-coding RNA, 703 nt
Organism: Salvelinus sp. IW2-2015
Lineage: Eukaryota; Metazoa; Chordata; Actinopteri; Salmoniformes; Salmonidae
Source: RefSeq, a predicted model, not a curated record
CAUUAAGCUGCCGAACUAUCCAACGCUGAUCGGCAGUACUCUUUCCUUUCAGAUUAUGCGCAGCCUUUUUUAGGAGAUGUACAGAGGUACAAUGUUUACCAACAAGCUGCUGACCCUGGUGCUGGUGGUGCAGCCUGGACGGGUGCUGCUGGGCAUGAAGAAGAGAGGGUUCGGAGCAGGGAAGUGGAAUGGGUUUGGUGGCAAAGUCCAACCCGGGGAGACUAUUGAAGAGGCUACCAGGCGAGAUGAGGCCGCAGUGGUUCGACUCGGAUAAGAUACCCUUCGGUCAAAUGUGGGUUGACGAUAUUCUGUGGUUUCCACUGAUGCUUCAAAAGAAGAAGUUCUUGGGCUACUUCAAAUUUCAGGGUCAUGACUUGAUAAUCGAUCACAAGUUAGAGGAGGUAGAAAAUCUUUAAGACAAACUACUGGCCUCUGACUCAUUCAUACUGUAUCAAAGAGCAUUCCCACAUUGUUGUCUACCUCAAACAUCCCUGGAGAAAUACUGCAGAAUUCUUACUGAUUCCAGCUACCCUUGUUCAUAUUCAGUGCCAAGAUAUCCCCAGGUCUUUAUAAAUUUACAAACACUUUGUUACCAGUGACCAUAUGCCUGUGAAUCAGUAAUAAUUCCCACUGAGCCAAAACUAAAUACUGGAUGUGUAAAUGUUGCUGACAUAUGUAUCCUAUUCCACUAUUGUGUUGAUAU